This 8680-nucleotide long non-coding RNA is filed under the name Oryza sativa (Asian cultivated rice). Its description in RNAcentral is "long non-coding RNA (OSAT_LNC001736)". Lineage: Eukaryota; Viridiplantae; Streptophyta; Magnoliopsida; Poales; Poaceae. The record is from RNAcentral.
UCAAUAUAGCUUGGGAAAUCAUAGCCAACGAGGAAAUAAUCACCACGACCAAAUCCAGAAUUUCCUUCAAGAGAAUCCAAGAGGGGAGCAUAGUCAUAGGUGCCAAAAGCACCACUCCUUAUAAGCUGCUUGGCUUCUUCAAAACGUGGGUCUGGUUUGAACUGUUGGUAACGUAAGCAAGGUUAAUGAUAAUUCAUCCACUUGUGAGAAAUAUAUACCAGAUCAAUAAGCUAACAAUACCAACAAAUUCAAUUUAGCUAUUUGCAAGUCAAGCUCAUCUAAUAAUGGUUGUAUAUCACUUAUCUACUAGAAAAUAUCUUACCAAGCUUCGUUCAAAAGAAAGAAAGAAAGAAAAUAUCUUACCAAGCCAUUCUCUCUAUCCUUCCUCAGCCCAGCAACUUGAUCUGCCUUGGCACCAAAAAGGAAGAAAUUUUCUUGUCCCACUUCCUCUCUUAUCUCAACAUUAGCUCCAUCAAGAGUACCAAUGAUAACACAACCAUUCAGAGAGAAUUUCAUAUUACUCGUUCCACUUGCUUCCAUGCCUGCGGUACUGAUGUGCUGUGACAGUUCACUCCCAGGAAUGAGCACCUCGGCCACAGAUACAUUGUAGUUGGGAAUGAACACCACCUGAGAGGAACAAGGAGGUCCACAUUUUAAUUCAAAAUUACAAUCAAAUAUUUGUGUAAGGAUUACAAAUCUAGAUUAUCUUAAUAUUACUCACUAUAUGAUAAUGACAUUAUUUUGAAUAGAUGGUGGACAUAUAAGACUCUGAUGGCCAAUUUGAGAAGUGACAUGUUUGUUUUGGAUGCGAUAGAAUGCAAAAGUUCCAUACCUUUAGGUAUUUAUUAACAUCAGGAUCAUUGUUCACCACAGCACCAACAUCAUUUACCAAUUUUACUAUUCUUUUGGCAUUGGUGUAAGUCGCGAAUGCUUUUCCCCCUAUCAUGACAGUGCGUGGCGUAACUUUUUGUCUCUCCUCUGCACUCAUUCCCUACAAGAUUCAUAAGGCUAUUUCAGAACCGAAAUAUUGAGAACUUCCAUUUAAAUUUAGACAAGCAUGGUAUUACUGAAGAGUAUGGGGAGUCUUUAGUACCUUUAACUUCUUGUAUCUGUAAACAGCUCCCAAAAUGUUUAGCAGCUGUCUCUUGUACUCAUGAAUGCGUUUAAUUUGUAUAUCAAAAAGGCUAUUUGGGUCGAUUGUAACACCUGUCACAUCCAACACAUGCUUGGCUAGGCGUUUUUUGCUAGCCAACUUAGCUGAUGCCCACUCAGCAUGAAGCUUUUCAUCAUCUGCAAACUGUAACGCUUUCGGUUAUACUUAAGUAGUCAGAUGAGUAAUAGCAAGGAAAAAUGGUGCAAGGUUUAGAAGGAUGCACACAUACUUUCCGAAGUCCGGUAAGAAGAUCAAGGUUGCUUGUCCACUGAUCUGUUUUUAGCCAUUUUGUUACUAUUUCACUCAACUCUGGGUUGCAGAAACGGAGCCAUCUACGAGGUGUAAUUCCAUUUGUUUUGUUCUGAAAUUUGUUGGGCCAUAUAGAGAGAUAGUCUGCAAAAAGCUCUUCCUUCAAAAUGUUGCUGUGUAACUCAGCCACUCCAUUCACCUGUGGAGAGAAUUCAGCACACUUCAGUACGACCUCCUCAACUUAUAUGAGAAAGCAAAUAAUGUUGACAUACUUAAAAAAAUAGUGGGGAUCCAUAUUGAUGGUAAGAUGGUCAAGGUAGUUUCCAUUAGAAUGGACAUGAUGAAUAGUUGUGUUGUGAAAAAGGUUAUAGAACAUUGAGCAUCAAACACAAAUAACUGCACUUACCGUAUGGGCAGACACUACGCACAAAUUUGCCAUGCGCACUACUGGCUUCUGAGGAUUUGAGUUGUCUAAGAUUCUCAUGGAGUCAAUCUUUCCCUCCAUUUCCUUCCGGGUGGAGAUUACCAUUUCCUUGAACUGCAAGCCAAUUGCACUAGGUGUCAUAUUUUACCAUAACUGUAGUGUAUAAAAAGUAUGCAUACAUGUGACAUGGCACUUACCCGCUUGUCAAUUUCCUCGAUAAUUUCCAUGUGUCGUGGAAGUAAUUUCCUCAUUACAAUCUGCGACCAUUUCUCAAGGGCUUCAGGAAGAACAGUGUGAUUGGUGUAGGCAAUUGUUCUGGACCAUUCAAAUAAUUUAUUGAUUAGGUCAAGCUUUUAAGUUGAAUUACUCUUGUUAAAAUGAAAAGCGGAAAAAUAAACAAUGGUGGAAAAAGAUAAGAAAAGAGAUCAAAUUAUAUUGUCACUUGUCAUAUUAGAGCUCACUUAUUUGUGAUAUCCCAUGCUUCAUCCCAACCAAGUCCCUCCACAUCCAUGAGUAGCCUCAUCAGCUCAGGAAUCGCAAGAGUUGGGUGAGUGUCAUUCAAUUGAACAGCAACUUUUGCAGGGAACUCACUCCAUUUCCCAGAAACUCUGUCAGCUUUCCUUUCUUUAAACCUGAAAAAAAUAUCCUGCAAAUAGUUCAUUGUCAGUUAUGCUUAUGAACAGUCUUCAGUCCUUGCAGAUAUUAAAAAAAUCAAGACACUGAGAAAGCUUAGAUUAAAAAAAAACUUAAAAGUAAAAAUAAAGAGUGACCCAAAUGUUCUUGGAUUGAAAUGAUGCUCAUGAUAAUUUGUUAAAUUUAACUCUCCUUUUUUUAGAUAAAAAUAUAACUCUCCUUGAUACAACUCGGUUUAACAUUCUCCCAUUCAAGACAGAAAAGACAUAUAGAAUGUUGCAACAAUAGAUCACUACAACCAUCACUCUUUAAUGAGUAUCGCACAACAACAAUUCACAACAAAAGACUGGUGUGGACAUAGGAGGCACUGUGAUAGGUUUCUCUUACAGUAACCAUGCUUCCAAAUAAAAUUAAUUAUUACCUGAAGCGAUGCACUGCAAAGGAAAUACUGUUGCUUCAGUCUGAGAAGCUUUCCUUCUUCUGUAGCAUCACCGGGAUAGAGAACGGCACAUAUCUGCAGAGCCAUAGACAAGAGACGUCUAUCAACAUAACAUUCAUUAAGGGAAAGGAAUGGCGAGAAUAUACAAUAAAAGAUAGGAAAUAUAUAGCACAACAUUUUCUACUGUAAUUCUUAGUUAAAAUGGACCUAUAGCCACAAUUGAAAACCAUGCCAAACUACAAGACACAACUUGUGUUUUUUCAGUGACCAACUAAACUGUUUGAUUAAAGAUAUACUGUAAGCUGUUUGAUUGAGAUAUAUUCACCGUUUAGUUGUAUAUACUACAUUGAGUUAGGUUGUAUAUACUACAUUGCUGUUUCUAUUUCUUAAAAAUGACUGAUAGAUGUUUAUGUGACAAAAGAAUAAAUAUUGAUCAGCAGAAGUAUUUGCAUCAAUUAAAGGCAUCAGUCUUGAUUUAGUCCCUGCUAAUGCAACUUAAAUGCACAACUGACAAAAUCAGUUCAAGAUGAAAUGUCACCUGUUGUGCCCUAGCAUGAAGUUGAGCAGCGGACUCAUACUGGCCAUCAUUGAAUUGAAAUAAGUUAAAAUCCUCCGCACUAGCUUUUGCGUCCCAAAGACGAAGACUGAUUGCAUUUUUUGUCUUGUACCCAGGAAUUGGCACAUCAUAUGCUAAAGCAUUGAGAACUUCUCCCCCCACCCAUUUACGACUAAACAAAAGUAAACAAGCAGUUAAAAGGACAGAAAUCCUUGCAGUAAACACCAAUUUACAGGUAUGCCUGCUAUGGGGCCUGCACAAUGCAUGAUAAUUCCAAUGUACAGAAUUGCAACUAUCAUGUCUACCAAGCCAAAAAUAAGAAUUGUAUUAACCCUGUUUCUUUUAAACAGCAUGAAAUAAUAGUACUUUGAAACAAGAAUGGUGUUGGCAAAGCAUUUCUCAUGGGUUUUGGUCAUUUGAUCCAGUUGCCAAAAGAGUGAAAAGAGAAGUAGAGGUCAAGAAAAUGCGCUGAAAAGGCCUAGCAAAGCAAGCAUAAUGUUCUUUCGUUAUAUCCAAGAAUGAUCCUAGAUCUCUAAAUGGAGUUGAAGAAAAUAAAUCUGAUUCAGGCACCUUUUUUUUUUAAUAUGGAGGGCAACACAAGCUAUAUAAUGUCAUAUUUAACUAUUAGUCAACAUUUUCUAAAAAAAUGGAACUUGUACUUACGAUCCAUCUGGCAAAAUCUCAACGUGGCCAAAAAAUCUGAUUGGGUAUACAAUGUCAUGCCUGACAAUUUCCCAUGGGCUGAACUUCUGAAAGAAAUAAACAUGUGGCUCAUCAGCAGCAGCUAGAGAAACUGAUGACGAGAGAGGAACUUGUGUACAUUCCAGUUGGUACCUCAAGCCAAUCUUCAGCAAUUUCUUCCUGGCCUUCCUUGGUGAUGCAUUGUUUGAAUAGACCAUAUCGGUACCGCAGACCAUAUCCCCAAGCAGGCAAAUUUAGUGUUGCCAUCGAAUCCAAAAAGCAAGAUGCGAGCCUACCCAAGCCACCAUUUCCCAGAGCUGCAUCUUUUUCCUGAGUACAGAGCAGAACACAUGUUUAGAAAAUGGAUACGGUACAACUUCUAUGCUUUUGAACCAUACUUUAUUUUGGUUAAACAUCGGAUCAAAUCUAAUCCAUCUAACCGGAUACUUCAACUGUUUCUAAAAUAAGAAUACAUACAAGCGUUAUUCCCGUUAGAUUAUGGCACAAUCAAACAAAGCGCUAGCUAGUUUAAUAAUGACGCUAACAAGCGAUACUGUACUAAAAUAGUCUUCAGAAAAAAAAAGAGCACGUUUUAAUUUAGAAAACACUCAAAGGGAGCUCACCUGCCCGACGAGGGCCUCGAGCUCGUACCCGAACUUCUUCACGGCCUCCGCGUAGGCGCCGGUGAUGCCGAGGUUGCCGACGGCGUUGGUGAGCGCGCGGCCCUGCAGGUACUCCAUGGAGAGGUAGUACGUCUGCUUCGGAUCCGUCUUGUGGAAAUGCAAGUACGUCUCGUUCCAUCUCUGCACACACGCGGGGGAAGUAGAGAUCACACCUCUGGGCCUCUGGCCUCGGGCACGGCCGGGCGCCGCGACGAACGCUUAGGAUUCUGCGUGCUCACGAACCUGGACGAGGUGAUCGCGGACGCUCUCGGCGGUGGAGUAGAAGGCCUGCUCGGGGCCGAACGCGAGCGGCGAGAAGUGGGGGCUGUACUGCGCGUGGAAGGAGAUGUUACCGGCGAUGGCGGCCGGCUCCUCCGACGCGGGGCUGGCCGCCGGCUUCACCUUCUCCGCCGCGCCGCACGCGGCGCCGUUGCUCUCCGGCAUGGCGGGCGGGCUCCCCGGUGGGGAAUUGCGUCGAGCACUUGGUGAGUGAGUCGAUAAGGCGUCGGAGUUCGGCUCCGGGCAGAGGCACCGAAUGGAAUGGAACGGAACGGAACGGUAAGAACUCUCGGCGAGGGGGCCUUUUCUAAUGGAAGGGUGAGGUGUCACGUGACUCUCGGGGCGGACUAGAAGAAGCAACAGAUCCGAUAAAUUGGGCGUGACGAAGAAAUUUUGGAAAACGCAGAGAUAUUUUUAUUUUAAGUGGUAGAGGAGAACUGAGGGAGAGAAAACGAAGGCUCAUCGUUUGUUUUCUGGCUCCUUUGCUCUUUUCCCGGACAUAUGUAUAUUUUUGGAUGCAAGUACACCGGUUAACCUCUAAUCAAAAUGUUGAAUAUUACUCACAACAAAGAGAAAUAAAAAAUAAAUGAAUACUUCUACAUUGUAUCAGCGCGAGUGAAAAAUUGUUCCAAAAAUUUAAAACCUUGGACUAUGAAUCAAAGCUCGUCCACUUGAAAUUUUUCCAUCAUUUGUGGCUUCUUCAAGGUUUUUUCUUCAGGGGGCAUUUAGCUGUUUGUCACGUUUAGAUUUGACGUUUUUAUCACUCACAUGUCAAUAUUAGUGGACUCAGUAUGUAUUUAUAACACGUGUAUCCAGUGAUAUAUUGUUAAACACCAUGGAUAAAAGUUGCCGAUGAUGAAUUGUUAAACACCGCGAGCAAGAGUGACAAACUCUUAAAGAGAUAAUCUAAGAAAUACCACUGACAAGCGUUCAAAUCCAAAAAACACCAUCGACAGGUGUAAGUUCCAAGAAAUAUCAUCGUGCAAACAAUUUUGUCCUAAAAAUAUCAUCAUCGUUAGGGUUACUGUUUAUCUGCGUGGAAUGGACAGAAUCCUAACGAUGAUGGUAUUUUUAGGACAAAGCUGUUUGUAUGAUGGUAUUUCUUAGAACUUACACUUAUCAAUUGUAUUUUUUGGAUUUGAAGGAUUGUCAAUGAUAUUUUUUUAUUAUCUCAUUGUUAGAGAAAUAUCUCGAUCAGUGUCGCUUUUGAAGGUAAUGUGCGCGAAGAGAAAAACUAAAUACUAGUACAUCGUACCGGGGUUAGAGUGAAAAUAUGGUUCUAAAAAAAAAACCUUUGGACUAUGAAUAUGGGUUUAUUAGAGCUCAUUCACUUACUUGAUAGCUUUCAAUAGAAGCUGGGCAGCUGGCCUUUUCUCUAAAAAAAAAAAGAGCUCAUUCACUUAGGGCCUCUUUGAAUCACAUGAUUGAGAAAACAUAGAAAAAAAUAUAGGAUUUUGAUAGAAAUAUAAGUGUAGAAUAGAUGAUUGUAAAACAUAGAAAAAACACAGAAAUAACCGUUUAAUUGAACCGCGGGAAAAAUUUAGGAAUUUGAUGGGAGAGAUAGACUGAAAGAAAAGCUACCAAGAGGUUGAAGCUCUUACAAAAUUUCCUCCAAAAUUGUCCAUUCCAUAGGAAUUUCAAAAGAUUUGAUAUGAUUCAAUCUUUUGUUUCAAAUUGCUUCAUAGAAAAUGUUCCUAUAGGAUUGAAAUCUUCCAAAAUUCCUAUAUUUUUCCUCCAAAUUAAAGGGGCCUUUUCAGCUGUGUUCGGCACCCCUGUUCCCAACAUGAACAACGCGCAUGGAAAACAGAACAGUCCAUUAGCACAUGAUUAAUUAAGUAUUAACUAUUUUUUCAAAAAUGAAUUAAUUUGAUUUUUUUAAGCAACUUUCGUAUAGAAACCUUUUAAAAAAACACACCUUUUAGCGGUUUAAAAAGCGUGCGUGCGAAAAACGAGAGAGAGGUUGGAAACAAGAGGUGCCGAACACAGCCUUAAAGAUCUUCAUCAUUUCUGACUUUUUCUCUCUCUUUUUUUUCAUCACACUGCAUGUAAAUGCGUGCGAUGAAAAAUGCCUACACAGACCUACUCCCUCCAUCCUGUAAUAAACCAAUCAAGAAUAAGAAUGAGAGAUGACAUUAUGUUACGAUGAAUCUAGAGUAUAAUGGCGGCGUGGAGGGAAUAAAUGACAGGAAAAGGGCCGGGACCGUACACGUGCCACGUUGGUGGUGUCCAUCUUCGAUGAGGAUCAAUCCGGUGAGCGGCCGCCGACGAAUCGAUCCGGCAUUGCCAAUUUGGGCAGGGGCCAGGGGGGCGCUUUGGCCGGUUCCGUCAGCUUUCCUAUUUAAGUACGUUAUCUUCCUGCUCUCGGGCACCGUGCGCACUCAGAUUGUUGUCCCCUGUUCAUGGCCAUUCUACGCCCUCAGAACUCAGGAGGAGCAAUUGACGAGAUGCCGCCAUGCCGGAGAUGUGAGCCGGAAUCACCUCCGUUUUGUGAACUUGAAACUGCCUGCUGGACUGGACUCAGUCCAUGAUGUACUAGUACAAGUAUGUUUUGUUAUGGACUUAUGGUUGAGUAAAUAUUGCAUCUCGAAGACAAAAUCUCUGGAAUAUCCCAAACGCUUUUGGGUGUGUGUGUGUUGGGGGGGGGGGGGGGUCGCAUCACCGCGGGUGCAGCCGUGCAAGGUAGCAACGCUUUUGCGGACCUACGGGGCCAGCCGGGUCAUAUUCUCGCCUUUGAGGAGACGGUGACUACAGCAAGUAGCAACGCAGUGUCAGUAUCACGUCAGGUCCUUUCUUGGAGGGAGGCGGGAGGCCCUUGCUGAUCGUGCACUGAGCUAUCGUUCAUACGUACGGUGAUGCACUGAGGCAUAUGCUCGACAAAAGUUGGUUGUGAUCAGUUUUGUUUUCGGUCCGUUCAUUCUGCUGUCAAUUGAGUACGCUAAACGCCUAAACACCGGUUUGAAACUUGUCAUCAAUCUUGUGUUAUAAAAAUUUGCCGAAAAUAUGAAACAUUACUAACAUUUCUGUUCUUAUCGGCCAUGUAUCAACUCAAAUGUGCCAAACGAUAACACAAGACAUACGAUAUGCAGACAAGAUUUAGCCAAAAAAAACUACAUCCCGACUUCCCGAGCUCUGAUUAUAACUUUUCUCCCCAAUCAACGUAGCACUCUUAGCUUGUGUUCGUUUGGAUUUCGAAGAAGCUGGGACCCUUCCCUAACACGUAAAACGGAACGAUAAAUUAACACAUAAUUAAUUAAGUAUUAGCUAAAAACUUAAAAUGAUUAAUAUGUUUUUUUUAAACAACAUUUCUAUAUAAUCUUUUUUUAAAAAAAUUAAUGUUUAGUAAUUAUGGAAGUGUGCACUUAAGAAACGAGAAAUAUAGCGUAGAAUGUAGCCUUAGCCGGUAUGGGUUCAUGGCCAUACGACCAUCAUCCCGCUAUGUGUAUGUGCUACAUUUAUCAUCAGUGUUCCAGCCCACUGAGAAAGCGAGAAAGGCCCAGGGUCUUUCCGACUAGCAACGCAAGCUGCAAAUUAGCCGGUUCGGAUUCGAGCCUCACCCCCUCCUUAAUUCAAAAUCAAUCUAGUCUUUCCUAGAUUGGUCCCAUUC